AUCAGUGGACGACCACUGAUGACGCUUUUUUAACCGGGACGACCCGG
This 47-nucleotide non-coding RNA is filed under the name unidentified. Its description in RNAcentral is "Endosymbiont of Guanidine-II sequence". It matches the Rfam family "Guanidine-II riboswitch aptamer (mini-ykkC)". From Rfam's summary of the family: Simpler in structure and has fewer highly conserved nucleotide positions than the ykkC-yxkD leader. Despite this each of its two stem-loop structures directly bind free guanidine. The record is from RNAcentral.